Molecule: ribosomal RNA, 404 nt
Filed under: Fusobacteriota bacterium
Lineage: Bacteria; Fusobacteriati; Fusobacteriota
Description: Fusobacteria bacterium partial 16S ribosomal RNA
Rfam family: Bacterial small subunit ribosomal RNA
Source: RNAcentral
UGGGGAAUAUUGCACAAUGGAGGGAACUCUGAUGCAGCGACGCCGCGUGAGUGAUGAAGGAAUUCGUUUCGUAAAACUCUGUUCUAUGGGAAGAAAAGGACUGUACCAUAGGAGAAAGCUCCGGCUAAAUACGUGCCAGCAGCCGCGGUAAUACGUAUGGAGCGAGCGUUGUCCGGAAUUAUUGGGCGUAAAGGGUGCGCAGGCGGCUUUACAAGUUGGAUGUGAAAUAUUGUGGCUCAACCACAAACGUGCAUCCAAAACUGCAAAGCUUGAGUUAAGGAGAGGUAAGUGGAAUUCCUGGUGUAGCGGUGGAAUGCGUAGAUAUCAGGAGGAAUACCGGUGGCGAGGGCGACUUACUGGACUUAAACUGACGCUCAGGCACGAAAGCGUGGGGAGCAAACAGG